Paramuricea clavata is the source of this 530-nucleotide non-coding RNA. The record is from the annotation of a GenBank genome assembly. NCBI's taxonomy places the organism in Eukaryota, Metazoa, Cnidaria, Anthozoa, Malacalcyonacea, Plexauridae.
AACUAAACAGAAAUCUUUUGAAUUUGAACAAUAGAAAUUUGGGUUCGAUCGAACAAUUUCGCCUAGUGGAAAACCGCCUUUAAGGCCCAUUUCCACUCAGGAAAAUUUUCCGCAGAAAGAAAAUUUUGUACAAUGUGAUUGGUCGACACAAAUUUUACGUCGGAAAAAAUUUUGAAGUUGAAAAUUUUCAACUUUUAACAAUGAUAUUUUCGGAACAUUUUCUGUCCAUGGAAAAUUUUCUUGGGUGGAAAUGGGCCUUUAAGCUUGUUGUCAACAAGGAGAUUUUCAUGCGAAUUGACCUUUGCCACCAAUGAAGCAUGGAAAAGGCAUUUCGCAUGAGAAAAUAUCGCAAGUGGAAAACAGGCUGAAAGUCUGAGUCUCGUGUCUGAUACUCUGAUAUACUCAUUAAUUCAAAAUUGUCAUCCAUGAAAUAUUACUUAACAUUAAGUUCUGUGCAAAUGAAUUUUACUCUACAGUCUCUAGUUUAUUAAAUUAUUCUUUAUACGAUGUUUUAACUCGAUUGAGCAAGG